AUGUGGUGCCUGCGAGGACCACGGUGGGAGCUGAGCACUACCCCACCCCCGAGGGGACAGUGUGUGUACGGGGACGCCCUCUCUAACAUCAUCCCCGCAGCUGGGGAGGAUCUUUUAGUGCCGAGGAGAGGACUAAGCACCUGCUGCGAGGAAGGACAGGGAUCCUCAGGAAGGGGGUCCUGGCCACUGUGGCUACUGUUUACCUGAAUCUCCUUCAUCUCAGCUCCUUCCUCCCUCCUCCCAGGAGAAAAAAGAUGUGUAAGAAAUUAGCCCAUGGACCCCAGCUCCACCUGAACAUCAAUAUACCGUGAGGACAUUCCAGAGUCCCUGCAAAAGGUCUCGUGAGCUGCAGUUCAUUGAGUGGCUUUAGGUCACACGGAGAAAGGAGGGUUCCAGUUCCCUCUGAGAGGGCAGCCCAGGAGCCGGCACGGAAGGAGCAGGAUGCGUGUCACCUGAGACUCCGAUGACGGUGCGAGCCACAGCACUCGUGUGUGAGAACGGAGAGAAGCAGGUGCUGACAGGUGCAGAGCCUGCUCCUGCCCCCUGGGCUAGAUGGGACAUGCGUACUGACCUCACGGGCUUGCUGUGAGGACUAGAUGAGAGAAUGCGAGCGUUGGACUCCGGAGCUGCGGCUGUUCAGUAGGAAAGACCAAAAGCAAAUGGUAAACAAGAGAGAAGACACACAUGCAUGCACAAAUAAAAACAGCAGCACCACCACCACCACCGCCGCCGCCACCACCAGCAAGCCAUGGAAUGCUGGGCCGGAGAGGCUGCCCAGAGAGCUGUCCUGACUCUGAAUUCACAGAAGUCCUUGCUACAAACUCCAACCUUCUAUUCUAUAGAAGCCUUAGCCAGGGCAGAACAUCGGUUACUUGUGGAAGACUCAAGAAUCAGAUCUGAAGUCUGCUCUCCUGGCCUCUUGAGAGAAGAAAACAAAUCCAUUCCACGGGCUAGGGAAUGUCGGUGAAACAACCUGGCCACACCGCACUUCUUAGAAGCAAAUAUUCUAUGGGAGAAACAAUCACAAGGGGUAACUCUAGAGCCUCAAGCACUGAAGUCAUCAACUGAGUUGGUGACACUCCAAACCCCCUUGGGCUGGGGUGCAAGAGCUGACGGACGCAGCCUUGGCGGCCACCUUCUCCUUCAAGCUCCUUGGCCAGGUGGGAGCCGUCAGGUCCACAUGCACACCUCCAACACUUCCCAAGCGAUGGCCAGCGCUAAAGCAGAAGCAAUAGGAUGACAUCUGCUGGUGCGUCUGUAUCCAGGCCGGGCAUACGUGUGCUCUGGAGGUGCCCCUGAGGGAGGGGCCUCAGAGCAGCAGGGGGAAGAGUCUGGCUCCUGGAACACAUAGUGUUCCCUGCUUGGGGGAGACUUUCCUGCCCUCCUUCUUCCUCCUACGUCCUUGCUCUGUGGGCCAUUCCUUCUCUUCUAGCCUUACUGGAAACAACAUUCUUCCAACUGAAGAUGUAACUGAGGCCUGAAUUAUGGUAAAGGAAGAUUAUUACAACAGCCUUUAAAAUACUUGCCUAAGCUGAGCUCCUGAAGAAACUUGGACCUGUCUCCUUGACCACGCCUUUACACCCGCACCUGACAUCCAUGGCUCUGAGGCCCAGAAAGAGCUGAGGAGGUCAUAGAGAUCAUCAAUGCUCUGCUUGCUUUGAUGUACCAUUAAGAAGACGAUCUUUCCUCUAACAGCCCCAUACAACUGAGCAGCGCCACCACGUCAUACCGGUACCCUUUUCUUUACCCCUUAAAGAAUACCCAGGAAAGAAAGAUAACUAAAGGAAGUAAAGGACCAGAUCUUUUACCACCUUCCUGCGUGGGUGAUCCAUCCUCUUCCUCUAUAACAUCAUUUCCCUAGGACAGAAGGAAGGCCCUGUGAGUCUAUGAAGCGGCAAAAUGAGUAAACUGAUUGGCUGAAGACAGAACUAAUCAUCCUACUGGUAUCUAACUCCAGGGCCUACGUUAAUAGCAUAUAUUUCCAUCUGUGUUUAAUAUGCCUCAGAGGCUGAGUAGAGGCAGAUCUUGCUUGGAGAGGCACCAUCUGCCUACAGGGAUUAGAUCCGAGCCACAUUACCCAUAUAUGCUCAGAAUGGUCUGUCAGGAACACCCUUGUUAAUAGUUUAGCUGAUACUGUUUCUCUAAGGUGGAAGUAAAAAUUACUAAAUGAAAGAGCA
This 2177-nucleotide long non-coding RNA is filed under the name Homo sapiens (human). RNAcentral describes it as "RNF157 antisense RNA 1 (RNF157-AS1)". The record is from RNAcentral. Lineage: Eukaryota; Metazoa; Chordata; Mammalia; Primates; Hominidae.